UCCAUUCUUUAACCAAACCACAAUGAUCAUUGUAAAAACCUGGUAAUGAUAACAAAAUAUACAGCUUUGGUCCGGAGCAUAACAGUGAUCUAACGGUGCAACGCUUUUAUUUAGCUAUUCAUCACCACAUCGAUAAUUAAUUAAAAAGAGAGAGAGAAUUAGGCAGUUCAAUUUAACAUCCACCACCACAACCACCACCACUGCAGCCGCCACCACCACAUCCUCCACUAUCGACAGCCAUUGCUGCUCCUAUAACUGCUCCACCAUCAGUUUUUCCACUGCUUCUGGAAUUUCGAUAGACAUCACGAUGUGGAAGAUGAGUUUUGGCAGUCUUUGCAGCCAAGGGACGCUUCUUUUUCUUGCCAUUGAUCCCGAAACAACGCAAUAGUCCACUUACUACAGCCACAGAGAUACAAACUAUGAGUUGUUACUAGACGAAAAAUAAAGACAAUGAGUUGAAAUUCGAGACUUACAUCCACCCAUAAUUGAUCAAGUACUUCUCUGAAACUGAAUUCUUACACCUGCACAAUACGAUAGGUUACAUUGUUAUACUUCUAAAAUUGAACAAAAUUAAUUGUAGAAGAAAAAGAAAAGAUAAACCUCAAAUUCGAA
This 612-nucleotide long non-coding RNA is filed under the name Olea europaea (common olive). RNAcentral describes it as "long non-coding RNA (OEUR_LNC006167)". The record is from RNAcentral. Lineage: Eukaryota; Viridiplantae; Streptophyta; Magnoliopsida; Lamiales; Oleaceae.